Long non-coding RNA from Anguilla rostrata (American eel), 1026 nucleotides. RefSeq lists it as uncharacterized. NCBI's taxonomy places the organism in Eukaryota, Metazoa, Chordata, Actinopteri, Anguilliformes, Anguillidae. The transcript is spliced from 4 exons. The record is from RefSeq and is a predicted model, not a curated record.
AAGCUCAUUAUGCCCAAAUCAAAGGAAAUUCCAGAAGAGAUGAAAAAGAAUCAGUCUGGAAAGAGUUACACAUCCAUUUUUUAAGGCUCUGGGACUCCACUGAACCACAGUGAGAUGUUAUCUCCAAAUCGAGAACACUUUGAAGUGGUUAUUAGUGAAUCUUCCCAAGAGUAGCCGGCCUGCCAAAAUAUCUCCAAGGGCACAGCGACAACUCAUCCAGGAAAUCACAAAAGAUCCCAGAAGGACAUCCAACGAACUGCAGGUGACUCUCUCCUCAGCUAAGCUUUACAUGUAAGACGACAAUGGAAGAACUGUGUUUGCAACACACACUCACUGCACGUGCUGACAUGGACAAACGGCUCCGACAAAAUACAGUUUACAGCAGGUUUGAACGGAGGUAGCGCGCACGCCCACCUGGCGGGGAGGCGUCGCCCAAUUUGAGGGGCAGGUCAGAGGGGCUGACCCCUGCUGGGGAACCAAGGACAUCCGGGAGGGCGUUUCGGCGCCCCGCGCGCUCGGACGAGGCGAAGUCGAGAACCGGCUCCACCUCUGUCAUCUCCAGGACCUCGACCAGAGAGGGAGGGAGGGAGUUUAAGUCGCCCCUGCCAAAGAAACCAACGUUCCGGAAAGGAAACGACAACAGCCAAAGCUGAGCGCGCUGAGCCUAGCAGCGAACUGUAGAUGCAGCUCUGGGGUAACAGAGCUUCCCCAAAGGGGAAGAGAAUGCCACCGUCUGUGGGUCCCGGCAGACAUCGCCGUCAGGACCUGUCUGCUUGCAUAGCGGCUGAGGGGGCGGGACUGUCACAAGCCAUCGGUCGCGCCGGACAUCACAGCAGCACGUGGGCGCAGCACUGCAUUCUGGGACUUUCAUAGAACCAGUGCAACCGAGUUGUUUCCAAAAAAACUGCCUUUUGAUUGGUUCGUUGGAGUGGUCGAAGACUGACUUCCUAGAUGGGGACAGGAGCCUGUUCCCCAUUGGUUCUGACUGUAGAGGACAAGCACCAUAUUGACGUAGACCGUUGAAUU